GACGAACGCUGGCGGCGCGCCUAACACAUGCAGGUCGAACGAGCGAGAGAGAGCUUGCUUUCUCGAGCGAGUGGCGAACGGGUGAGUAACGCGUGAGGAACCUGCCUCAAAGAGGGGGACAACAGUUGGAAACGACUGCUAAUACCGCAUAAGCCCACGGUGCCGCAUGGCACAGAGGGAAAAGGAGCAAUCCGCUUUGAGAUGGCCUCGCGUCCGAUUAGCUAGUUGGUGAGGUAAUGGCCCACCAAGGCGACGAUCGGUAGCCGGACUGAGAGGUUGAACCGCCACAUUGGGACUGAGACACGGCCCAGACUCCUACGGGAGGCAGCAGUGGGGAAUAUUGCACAAUGGGGGAAACCCUGAUGCAGCGACGCCGCGUGGAGGAAGAAGGUCUUCGGAUUGUAAACUCCUGUUGUUGGGGAAGAUAAUGACGGUACCCAACAAGGAAGUGACGGCUAACUACGUA
This 466-nucleotide ribosomal RNA is filed under the name uncultured bacterium. Its description in RNAcentral is "partial 16S ribosomal RNA". It matches the Rfam family "Bacterial small subunit ribosomal RNA", at positions 28 to 507 of the family's 1533-position model. The record is from RNAcentral.